UACCUGGGUUUGACAUGUAUGGAUUAGUUUCUGGAAACAGGAAUGACAGUCGCAAGAUUGGAACAUGCACAGGUGCUGCAUGGCUGUCGUCAGCUCGUGCUGUGAAGCGUCGGGUUAAGUCCUCUAACGAGCGCAACCCUUGUCGCUAGUUACCAUCAGGUUAUGCUGGGGACUCUAGCGAGACUGCCGGUGUCAAACCGGAGGAAGGCGGGGAUGACGUCAAGUCCUCAUGGCCCUUACACCCAGGGUUGCACACGUGCUACAAUGGUGCAUACAGAGCGAAGCAAGACCGCAAGGUGGAGCAAAUCGCAAAAAAUGCACCCCAGUUCGGAUUGCAGGCUGCAACCCGCCUGCAUGAAGCCGGAAUCGCUAGUAAUCGGGGAUCAGCUACGCCCCGGUGAAUGUGUUCCUGAGCCUUGUACACACCGCCCGUCAAGUCAUGGGAGCCGGUAGUGCCCAAAGCCGCCAGAUUUCACUGGCGACCACGGCAAGAUCGGUGACUGGGACUAAGUCGUAACAAGGUAACCGUAAAUCGAAUCCCGCGGCCGCCGGCGGCCGGAGCU
RNAcentral lists this ribosomal RNA (563 nucleotides) under uncultured bacterium. RNAcentral's name for it is "bacterial SSU rRNA". It matches the Rfam family "Bacterial small subunit ribosomal RNA", at positions 972 to 1533 of the family's 1533-position model. The record is from RNAcentral.